RNAcentral lists this small nuclear RNA (107 nucleotides) under Moschus moschiferus (Siberian musk deer). The record is from RNAcentral. Lineage: Eukaryota; Metazoa; Chordata; Mammalia; Artiodactyla; Moschidae.
GCGCUCCCUUCAGCAGCACAUACACUAAAAUUGAAACAGUACAGAGAAGAUUAGCAUGGCCCCUGUGCAAGGAUGACACACACAUUUGUGAUGCGUUCCUUGUUUUU